This 2496-nucleotide ribosomal RNA is filed under the name Escherichia coli. Its description in RNAcentral is "partial 23S ribosomal RNA". It matches the Rfam family "Bacterial large subunit ribosomal RNA", at positions 388 to 2863 of the family's 2925-position model. The record is from RNAcentral. Lineage: Bacteria; Pseudomonadati; Pseudomonadota; Gammaproteobacteria; Enterobacterales; Enterobacteriaceae.
AUGCACAUGCUGUGAGCUCGAUGAGUAGGGCGGGACACGUGGUAUCCUGUCUGAAUAUGGGGGGACCAUCCUCCAAGGCUAAAUACUCCUGACUGACCGAUAGUGAACCAGUACCGUGAGGGAAAGGCGAAAAGAACCCCGGCGAGGGGAGUGAAAAAGAACCUGAAACCGUGUACGUACAAGCAGUGGGAGCACAGAGCAAUCUGUGUGACUGCGUACCUUUUGUAUAAUGGGUCAGCGACUUAUAUUCUGUAGCAAGGUUAACCGAAUAGGGGAGCCGAAGGGAAACCGAGUCUUAACUGGGCGUUAAGUUGCAGGGUAUAGACCCGAAACCCGGUGAUCUAGCCAUGGGCAGGUUGAAGGUUGGGUAACACUAACUGGAGGACCGAACCGACUAAUGUUGAAAAAUUAGCGGAUGACUUGUGGCUGGGGGUGAAAGGCCAAUCAAACCGGGAGAUAGCUGGUUCUCCCCGAAAGCUAUUUAGGUAGCGCCUCGUGAAUUCAUCUCCGGGGGUAGAGCACUGUUUCGGCAAGGGGGUCAUCCCGACUUACCAACCCGAUGCAAACUGCGAAUACCGGAGAAUGUUAUCACGGGAGACACACGGCGGGUGCUAACGUCCGUCGUGAAGAGGGAAACAACCCAGACCGCCAGCUAAGGUCCCAAAGUCAUGGUUAAGUGGGAAACGAUGUGGGAAGGCCCAGACAGCCAGGAUGUUGGCUUAGAAGCAGCCAUCAUUUAAAGAAAGCGUAAUAGCUCACUGGUCGAGUCGGCCUGCGCGGAAGAUGUAACGGGGCUAAACCAUGCACCGAAGCUGCGGCAGCGACACUAUGUGUUGUUGGGUAGGGGAGCGUUCUGUAAGCCUGUGAAGGUGUACUGUGAGGUAUGCUGGAGGUAUCAGAAGUGCGAAUGCUGACAUAAGUAACGAUAAAGCGGGUGAAAAGCCCGCUCGCCGGAAGACCAAGGGUUCCUGUCCAACGUUAAUCGGGGCAGGGUGAGUCGACCCCUAAGGCGAGGCCGAAAGGCGUAGUCGAUGGGAAACAGGUUAAUAUUCCUGUACUUGGUGUUACUGCGAAGGGGGGACGGAGAAGGCUAUGUUGGCCGGGCGACGGUUGUCCCGGUUUAAGCGUGUAGGCUGGUUUUCCAGGCAAAUCCGGAAAAUCAAGGCUGAGGCGUGAUGACGAGGCACUACGGUGCUGAAGCAACAAAUGCCCUGCUUCCAGGAAAAGCCUCUAAGCAUCAGGUAACAUCAAAUCGUACCCCAAACCGACACAGGUGGUCAGGUAGAGAAUACCAAGGCGCUUGAGAGAACUCGGGUGAAGGAACUAGGCAAAAUGGUGCCGUAACUUCGGGAGAAGGCACGCUGAUAUGUAGGUGAAGUCCCUCGCGGAUGGAGCUGAAAUCAGUCGAAGAUACCAGCUGGCUGCAACUGUUUAUUAAAAACACAGCACUGUGCAAACACGAAAGUGGACGUAUACGGUGUGACGCCUGCCCGGUGCCGGAAGGUUAAUUGAUGGGGUCAGCGCAAGCGAAGCUCUUGAUCGAAGCCCCGGUAAACGGCGGCCGUAACUAUAACGGUCCUAAGGUAGCGAAAUUCCUUGUCGGGUAAGUUCCGACCUGCACGAAUGGCGUAAUGAUGGCCAGGCUGUCUCCACCCGAGACUCAGUGAAAUUGAACUCGCUGUGAAGAUGCAGUGUACCCGCGGCAAGACGGAAAGACCCCGUGAACCUUUACUAUAGCUUGACACUGAACAUUGAGCCUUGAUGUGUAGGAUAGGUGGGAGGCUUUGAAGUGUGGACGCCAGUCUGCAUGGAGCCGACCUUGAAAUACCACCCUUUAAUGUUUGAUGUUCUAACGUUGACCCGUGAUCCGGGUUGCGGACAGUGUCUGGUGGGUAGUUUGACUGGGGCGGUCUCCUCCUAAAGAGUAACGGAGGAGCACGAAGGUUGGCUAAUCCUGGUCGGACAUCAGGAGGUUAGUGCAAUGGCAUAAGCCAGCUUGACUGCGAGCGUGACGGCGCGAGCAGGUGCGAAAGCAGGUCAUAGUGAUCCGGUGGUUCUGAAUGGAAGGGCCAUCGCUCAACGGAUAAAAGGUACUCCGGGGAUAACAGGCUGAUACCGCCCAAGAGUUCAUAUCGACGGCGGUGUUUGGCACCUCGAUGUCGGCUCAUCACAUCCUGGGGCUGAAGUAGGUCCCAAGGGUAUGGCUGUUCGCCAUUUAAAGUGGUACGCGAGCUGGGUUUAGAACGUCGUGAGACAGUUCGGUCCCUAUCUGCCGUGGGCGCUGGAGAACUGAGGGGGGCUGCUCCUAGUACGAGAGGACCGGAGUGGACGCAUCACUGGUGUUCGGGUUGUCAUGCCAAUGGCACUGCCCGGUAGCUAAAUGCGGAAGAGAUAAGUGCUGAAAGCAUCUAAGCACGAAACUUGCCCCGAGAUGAGUUCUCCCUGACCCUUUAAGGGUCCUGAAGGAACGUUGAAGACGACGACGUUGAUAGGCCG